GACGAACGCUGGCGGCGUGCUUAACACAUGCAAGUCGAACGGAAAGGCCCUGCUUUUGUGGGGUGCUCGAGUGGCGAACGGGUGAGUAACACGUGAGUAACCUGCCCUUGACUUUGGGAUAACUUCAGGAAACUGGGGCUAAUACCGGAUAGGAGCUCCUGCUGCAUGGUGGGGGUUGGAAAGUUUCGGCGGUUGGGGAUGGACUCGCGGCUUAUCAGCUUGUUGGUGGGGUAGUGGCUUACCAAGGCUUGGACGGGUAGCCGGCCUGAGAGGGUGACCGGCCACAUUGGGACUGAGAUACGGCCCAGACUCCUACGGGAGGCAGAAGUGGGGAAUAUUGCACAAUGGGCGGAAGCCUGAUGCAGCAACGCCGCGUGCGGGAUGACGGCCUUCGGGUUGUAAACCGCUUUCGCCUGUGACGAAGCGUGAGUGACGGUAAUGGGUAAAGAAGCACCGGCUAACUACGUG
RNAcentral lists this ribosomal RNA (468 nucleotides) under uncultured bacterium. Its description in RNAcentral is "partial 16S ribosomal RNA". It matches the Rfam family "Bacterial small subunit ribosomal RNA", at positions 28 to 507 of the family's 1533-position model. The record is from RNAcentral.